UCUGUCAUAAACUCCCUCUCACCUAAUAUCAUCUCUUGAAGCAUUCAGAUUCCAGUGUAUUCAUUUUUCCUUCAUGCACAAUUUGGCAGAUUGCAAACAAUGGCCUCAAAGCUACUUUCUGAAAUUCCUCUCACUCAUCAAAUUUUUGAAAGGGAGAGGGUUUCUGAAAUUGAUGCCUAGAAUCAGCAAUUUGUCUGAUAUGAUUGGAUGGACUGAGCUUGUUUCCACUGGAGUGAACUGAUGAAUGAUUUCAUUGAAGUGUUUAAGAUCCUGGUUAAUCUCAGAAAGAUGGAUAUGGAAAGAAUGUUUCUUUUGUGGAGUGAGCCUGGGGAUUAAUCAUGAAAAACAAGGAAAUGGAAGAGGUGUCUGAACAGAUGCUGCCAGGCCUACUGAGCUUCUAAACGUGGCCAGGAUCUUUCCUCUUAUGGGAGAAUAUAAAACUAGGGAUCACUGUUUAAAAAUCAGAGGUCACUUAUUUAAAACAGAAAAUAAAGAAAGUUUUUUUUUCCCCUCAGUGGCCCAUGGCUCUUUGAAAUUCUCUUCCUGAGAAAGUGUUGGAAGCAAAUUCCUUGAACAUUAAGGAGCAGAAAAAUGGAUUCUUCUUAAGCAAAACAUUGAAAGUUAAUAAGGAUAGAUGGAAAUGUGAAUUUGUGGUUAAAAUCUUAUUGAUGGUGAAGCAAGCUUGAGGAGAGCAAAGGCUUACCCCUGCUCCUAAUUCACCUGCUUUUAUGUAAAAGAAAAACUCAGAAGUUCUAUGUUCUAUGUUCUACGUUCUAGAACUUGGGUAACCAUUCUCAUUAAAAUGGAACUCAUUUCAGGAUAUCUUCCAUUGUCUUAUUUUUGUACAAAAUCUAGGACGUGUCGAUUUUUGAUAAAUUGCACAAAAUUGGUUUAUUCUUCAAUUAUCCAAAUUGACUGCAAUGCACUCUCAGCCUUGUAUUUUAGAAUUUGUUCAAUGACUGUUUAUUAAGCUGAAGGAAAAUAUUGAUUCGUUAGAGAUCCCUACUCAAACCCUAGGCAUUCAAGCCCCAACAUA
Molecule: long non-coding RNA, 1036 nt
Organism: Stegostoma tigrinum
Lineage: Eukaryota; Metazoa; Chordata; Chondrichthyes; Orectolobiformes; Stegostomatidae
Exons: 3
Source: RefSeq, a predicted model, not a curated record